RNAcentral lists this ribosomal RNA (46 nucleotides) under Pyrenochaeta sp. RNAcentral describes it as "partial 28S ribosomal RNA". The record is from RNAcentral. Lineage: Eukaryota; Fungi; Ascomycota; Dothideomycetes; Pleosporales; Cucurbitariaceae.
UCUUGACCUCGGAUCAGGUAGGGAUACCCGCUGAAACUUAAGCAUA